Peromyscus leucopus (white-footed mouse) is the source of this 629-nucleotide long non-coding RNA. RefSeq lists it as uncharacterized. The transcript has 2 exons. NCBI's taxonomy places the organism in Eukaryota, Metazoa, Chordata, Mammalia, Rodentia, Cricetidae. The record is from RefSeq and is a predicted model, not a curated record.
ACCAAGCUGUUCUAGGUCAACAAUGGCAUGUAGACGGUACCCAAACCAAGCUGUUCUAGGUCAACAAUGGCAUGUAGACGGUACCCAAACCAAGCUGUUCUAGGAUUAUGGGAAUUCAGGGGAGAGGAGUAAGGCAUUAUGGAGGGGCCUUUAAACAUUCUUAAAUUGGACCCCAUCUCAAAAAGUAAAAAAGGGGUGUUGAUGGGGCUGUGGUAGCAUGCUUACCUAGUACACCUGAGACCCUAGGUUCACUCUCCAGUACUCCUAUUCUACCCCCCAAACACCAGCAAUUUGGAGUUACCAUAGUUUAAGGAGAGUUGGAUGCUCACUGGCUGUGCCUUCUCAGCCCCAAAAGUACUUGAGAAUCACUCCCACCCCUUUAAGCCUGCCUCCACACUGCAGCACCAUUUCAAGAUCAAUAAAGAUGCUUCAAGUAUAAUGUUUGAAACAGAAAUUUAUUCUCAGAAUAAUGCACAAAAGCAUGGGUUGAGGCUACUGUCGGGAGCAUCCCUCCCCUCCUCCGCCUCCCCUCUCUUCUCUGAAUGCCAGGGAGAACACAGUUGAAGGAAACAUGCAAUCACAAACAAUGAUCAACUCUAAAGACAAAGGUUUGGUCCAAAAGAACUCAA